ACGAGUUUGAUCCUGGCUCAGAUUGAACGCUGGCGGCAGGCCUAACACAUGCAAGUCGAGCGGUAGAGAGGUGCUUGCAUCUCUUGAGAGCGGCGGACGGGUGAGUAAUGCCUAGGAAUCUGCCUAGUGGUGGGGGAUAACGUUCGGAAACGGACGCUAAUACCGCAUACGUCCUACGGGAGAAAGCGGGGGAUCUUCGGACCUCGCGCCAUUAGAUGAGCCUAGGUCGGAUUAGCUAGUUGGUGAGGUAAUGGCUCACCAAGGCGACGAUCCGUAACUGGUCUGAGAGGAUGAUCAGUCACACUGGAACUGAGACACGGCCCAGACUCCUACGGGAGGCAGCAGUGGGGAAUUUUUGGACAAUGGGCGAAAGCCUGAUCCAGUAAUGCCGCGUGCAGGAAGAAGGCCUUCGGGUUGUAAACUGCUUUUGUACGGAACGAAAAGGCUCUUUCUAAUAAAGAGGGCCCAUGACGGUACCGUAAGAAUAAGCACCGGCUAACUACGUG
RNAcentral lists this ribosomal RNA (506 nucleotides) under uncultured bacterium. RNAcentral describes it as "bacterial SSU rRNA". It matches the Rfam family "Bacterial small subunit ribosomal RNA", at positions 1 to 507 of the family's 1533-position model. The record is from RNAcentral.